This 376-nucleotide ribosomal RNA is filed under the name uncultured bacterium. RNAcentral's name for it is "bacterial SSU rRNA". It matches the Rfam family "Bacterial small subunit ribosomal RNA", at positions 524 to 898 of the family's 1533-position model. The record is from RNAcentral.
UACAGAGGGUGCAAGCGUUGUUCGGAAUUAUUGGGCGUAAAGCGCGUGUAGGCUGCGACGUAUGUCGGGUGUGAAAGCCCUCGGCUCAACUGAGGAAGUGCGCCCGAAACUACGUUGCUCGAGUGCUGGAGAGGGUAGCGGAAUUCCCGGUGUAGAGGUGAAAUUCGUAGAUAUCGGGAGGAACACCAGUGGCGAAGGCGGCUACCUGGACGGACACUGACGCUGAGACGCGAAAGCGUGGGGAGCAAACAGGAUUAGAUACCCUGGUAGUCCACGCUGUAAACGAUGGGAACUAGGUGUGGCGGGUGUUGACCCCUGCCGUGCCGAAGCUAACGCAUUAAGUUCCCCGCCUGGGAAGUACGGCCGCAAGGUUAAA